GACGAACCGAGCGAACGUUGUUCGGCAUCACUGGGCUUAAAGGGCGCGUAGGCGGGUGCUCACGUCCGGGGUGAAAUCCCCCAGCUCAACUGUGGAAUUGCCUCGGAUACUGGGUGUCUCGAGGGUGGUAGGGGUAUGCGGAACUAUCGGUGGAGCGGUGAAAUGCGUUGAUAUCGAUAGGAACUCCGGUGGCGAAGGCGGCACACUGGGCCACUUCUGACGCUGAUGCGCGAAAGCCAGGGGAGCAAACGGG
RNAcentral lists this ribosomal RNA (253 nucleotides) under uncultured bacterium. RNAcentral's name for it is "partial 16S ribosomal RNA". It matches the Rfam family "Bacterial small subunit ribosomal RNA", at positions 524 to 776 of the family's 1533-position model. The record is from RNAcentral.